GCAUGCCCAAGUGCUACAGACCCCUCCUAGGAGGCCCACCAAGGGGCUCCCUGUGCAACCCCUGUCAUGUGCAAAGAAGAGACCAAUCCUGUGAGCUGGAUCAAGAGGCCCUCGCAUCUGGCCCCAAACUGCCAGGAUGACCACGUGGUAUUACUGGGGCAGCCUUUGGGCUUUGCACGGUGUUGCAAGACACAGACAACACUGUCUGCUAAAAUGGAAAACCAGAACAAGAUGCCAACUUCAGAAGAACGUGUGCAUGGAGACGAUAAGGAAAAGCCCCAAAGGGUUUCCCAAAAAAGUCCCCACGAACCAGAAGAACCGGCCAGUGGCCCGUGAAUCGGAAACUAUAUUUUGAGGUCAAUGCUGCUAAUAAGAGGCAGAAGACCGAUCAUGCAGUCAAGACUGUCCUGUUAGACCAUGAUUUCUGCGGAAGCAGCAAGACCCAGGCUUUGGGAUGCAGCCUGGAGACCCAUGCUCUUAGAGGCCACAGCUACUGCAGAAAGAGCAAAGGGGAGCAGUAAGGGCAAUGAGGGUGCUGCAGAACUGAAAGACUGUGAUUAUUAUCAGGUUUCUGACAUCCAGAGCAGCCAGGAAAUGCUGACUUCACUCUCCCGUGGUACUCCAGCAUAUUCUGAUUAUGGCAUACUCAUCAUGGAACCCCAAAGCAGACUGGAGCCAGGAUACGGAUAUACAGGGUAAGGACAAAACUUUACUGGGCGUUGGGGCGGGGUGUGUGUGAGUGUUUUUUCUUUUUAAAUAAGCGCACACAGCCACAAUAUUACAUAGUCUCAGAAGUUUUUUUUUAAUCUUAAUUUUAUAUCUUAAGGGACAGAAUGUAAAGAAAACUAGGAAUCUUAUAAAACCAUGCAAUAUUGUUUAAAAGGGGUGGUGGUGGAGGGGAAAAAAAACUUACCUUUACCCUUAAUAGGCCCGCUCCAUUCUGCAGCGGGGUUCUGUGGUAUGUGUGACAUCACCAAUCUAGUGUUUUCUAGUGAUGUCACAUGGAGAGGGAGAUGGUGAUCUGCAACUGCUUUGGACAUCAGAUACCUGAAGAAAAAAAGGUUAAUAACUUUUCAAUUGAAGAGAAAAAGCAAUUCUUGGCAUUACACCCAGCUAAUCAGAAGUUUUUAGACUUGCUAGCAAAAUGUAAAAAUGCUGAGGGAGGCCUGCAGAUCAUACAUGAAGGAGAUUAUGGUGAUGACCCAUCACACAUUCUACGAGAAAGAGGGUGAUGAAGUUGAAGGCUUAUCACUGUUUUGAUACCAUUUUGUAUAGUAUGCUGGCAUCUAUUUGCAUGUCCAUGUACUGGUUUAUGUUUCUCAAACCUAAUGUGGUAGCACUUCUCCCUCCAGAUGGCUGUCAUCAGAGGAAAAAGAGGUAUUUGACCCCCUCUAUUCCAUGGCUUAUGUACAUUACUUGAAUAUUUUCCUUUUUGGCAGAGUUCUAUUUCUUGAAUGACUGUGCUGAUAGCUUUCAAUUUUAAGGGGUGCUUUUUCCAUGGCUGUAUUGAAUGCUACCGUGAAAAUGACUGGAACCUUCUGGCAGGGGCCACCUUUGGGUAUUUGUAGUACCUGACAGUAAAAGAUGGACCACCUGAAGAGAGUGGGUUUUAACAUCAGAUCUCUGUGGGAGCAUGAGUGGGUUGCUUUGACAAAAUCAGAGGGGGAGUUUGCAGAGCUCUUAGCCAGGACCAAACUGCCCACACUGCUGAUCCCCAGAGGUGUACUUUUCAGCAGCAGGACAAAGCAGCCCCUGAUGAAAAGAUACAUUACUAUGAUUUUGCUAGCCUCUAUCCCUUCAUCAACCAAACAAAACAAUACUCUCUUGGGCACCCCAAAGUUAUUUCUGAGAAUUUUGAUGCCCUGACAACCUACUUCAGGACAGUCAAAGUAAAGGUGUCCCCACCUUGUGGGCUCUUUUUCCCUGUGCUUCCCAUGAGGGUAAACGGCAAGCUCGUUUCCCUUCUGCUGGAACCUGCCAGGCCCUCCCCCCCCAGCAAUGAGGGAAGAGCCCUUGUGGGCACCUGGUGUUCCCCAGAACUGACCAAGGCUCUGGAGAAGGGCUACAGGGUCCAUGAAAUCUCUGAGGUUUGGCAUCAAUAGCUGACCUUAGGUGUUAU
Dromaius novaehollandiae (emu) is the source of this 2119-nucleotide long non-coding RNA. RefSeq lists it as uncharacterized. NCBI's taxonomy places the organism in Eukaryota, Metazoa, Chordata, Aves, Casuariiformes, Dromaiidae. The transcript is spliced from 3 exons. The record is from RefSeq and is a predicted model, not a curated record.